Molecule: long non-coding RNA, 258 nt
Filed under: Equus caballus (horse)
Lineage: Eukaryota; Metazoa; Chordata; Mammalia; Perissodactyla; Equidae
Description: lncRNA (ENSECAG00000052285.1)
Source: RNAcentral
UUUGAGACAGGAAAUUGCAUGGAGCAGAGGCACAGGGCCUGGAAAGCAUGGGAAAUGAUCAGCCCUGAGCUGACAUCUGCUGCCAAUCCUCCUCUUUUUUUCUGAGGAAGACUGGUCCUGAGCUAACAUCCGUGCCCAUCUUCCUCUGUUUUAUAUGUGGGAUGCCUACCACAGCAUGGCUUGAUGAGUGGUGCCAUGUCUGCACCCGGGACCUGAACUGGUGGACCCUGGGCUGCCGAAGGGGAACGUGCGCACUUA